GGUACCCGGGGAUCCUCUAGAGUCGACCUGCAGGCAUGCAAGCUUAAACCCAGCUUAAUGAGCUGGGUUUUUUGUUUACUCAAGAUCGAGAAAAUCAAACAAAUACAAACACCGAGGGCUUAUAUAGCCCAUAUACUGAUUUAAAGUUUCAAAAAGGUCUAAAUAGU
This 167-nucleotide ribosomal RNA is filed under the name Bacillus subtilis. RNAcentral's name for it is "small subunit rRNA". The record is from RNAcentral. Lineage: Bacteria; Bacillati; Bacillota; Bacilli; Caryophanales; Bacillaceae.